This is a long non-coding RNA of Mirounga angustirostris (Northern elephant seal), 2457 nucleotides long. RefSeq lists it as uncharacterized. Lineage: Eukaryota; Metazoa; Chordata; Mammalia; Carnivora; Phocidae. The transcript has 3 exons. The record is from RefSeq and is a predicted model, not a curated record.
GGCGGGGGGGGAGAAGCCGGUAUGCAGCCAACCAACUGGGUCAGCGAAGCCGCAGGCGCCGCGGCCCCUUCCCGGCGCGGCUCACGAUUUGAAGAAUAAUUGUUUCAAAGCACAAAAUACAAGUAUAAAUCGAAGGACUGAAUACUGGAGUUUUGUGGGGAGUUCCAUCAAAGCACGCAUCCACAUCCCGCAGGGAGACUAACGGCGGCGCCACACAGAGACCCCCGCGUGGUCAUCAGACUCCACCCCCUUUCCUUCCCGGACGCGCAGCUUUUGCACAUUUCCCAGAUUCUCUUAUCGGGGUCAUGUGACUGAGGUCUGGCCAAUGAAAACUGUGCACACCACUUGCAAGCUUGGCCCCUAAAAAUCAUCUUGCACAGAUAUUGCAGUACAUUAUAAUGCUAUGGUAUUCAAAACCGGAACGGUGAUGAUGCUGCAACAGACAGAUCAAUGGAUUGAAGUCGAAGACCCAGAGGCAUAUUCGAGUAUAUAUAAAUGUCACUGUUCUGUAAACUCUAUGUAUACAAAAACAUAUAUAUGUAUGUGUAGGUUUCUGAGCCUUCUGAGUGAACAUCUCUUGUUCCCUAUAUUCCCUUUUUAUUCCCUUUUCUACAUAUAUAUUUUAAAACCAUAGUGCUAUAACAAAGCCUCCAAAAAGGCUCCCAAUGUUCCCCACCUCCCAGUUCACACCCUGGGCUCUUGGAUCACUUGCUCUGGGGAAGGGGGCUGUAGCAGGAGAGGAUGCUGCGAGCAGCAGCUGGAGAAGCCCACGUGACUAGGAACCGAGAACCCCAGCUGACAGCCAGCAAGUCAGUGAGGGCUGCCAAGAACAUGUGAGUGAGCUGAGAAGUGGAUCUUCCCGCAGCUGAGCCCUCAGAGGACUGCAGUUCAAGUGACAGCUGACCCAGAACCGCUCAAUUCUGCCACUCCCAGAGUCCUAACUCUCAGAAACCCUGUGAGAUAAUGUGUUUGUUGGUUUUAGCUGCUCUGCUAAGUGUUGGGGUAAGUCAUUACACAAUAGAUAAUUGAAACACAUGGCAUAUAAAUAAAAUCAAUCAGACCAAUGCGGGUCAAUGAUUAGUGAGUUAGAUGCUUUGACAGAUUUUGACACUUCUGUUUCAUCUUAAUUGUUUGCCUCAAAAGUAAUCCCUAAGGGCAAAACAUGUUAAGAGCGGUUCCCAACAGGAUGUUAGAAAAAUUAACAACUAGCUUUGGGAACUAAAGUGUAACCACAGCAUUAUUUUCCAUUUUAUUAAACUCAUUAAAUGGUAUUGCCGUAUAUUUGUUUCUAUUAAAAAACACGAUAUUAGACUCUGGGAGAAAACCUCUUACAAAUUAGUCUGAAAUUAUCAUUUCUUCCUAGUGAUGUAUAAGAAUAUAAUAAUUGCGGGCGCCUGGGUGGCUCAGAUGGUUAAGCGUCUGCCUUCGGCUCAGGUCAUGAUCUCGGGGUCCUGGGAUCAAGUCCCGCAUUGGGCUCCCUGCUCCUUGGGAGCCUGCUUCUCCCUCUGCCUCUCUCUCUCUGUCUCUAAUGAAUAAAUAAAUAAAAUCUUUAAAAAAAAAAAAGAAUAUAAUAAUUGCUUAGCAGAAGUUCCUAAGAGAUGGACUGACUUUAACAUAUAUUUGAGCAUAAUAUUUUGACAAACAAGUUCCUUUGCAGUAUUUGAAGAUGGUUUUUUUCCUGUGCACCUCCUCCUUUAUGUUACUAAGACGGUUUGCAAUCUCUGUCAUUAUUCUUGGUAGAAGAUCAAACUUCAGUAGAAUACCUAUGUGAAUUCUAACAAUUUCUGAACUAGUGAAGCCCCACAAAAUGAAGAUUUAUCAUGUGUAAGGGAACCAGAAAAGCUAAAAUCCCAAGAUGAGUCAAGGCAAUAGUUCCAGGCAACUCGUGUCCCUGCCAGGAUCCUGCCACAAGCUUUCUCCAUGCUCCACUAAGGUUGGAAUUCAGCUUUUGGUACUAACUUGUCUCAAUCUUGGCCACAGUGGUAAUUUCAUUUUCCUACUUGUUUUCCCUCAACUAGAAUGACUAGGGGCAAUUGAUUUUUCCAUGUAGAAAAAGGGGCAAAUUGGAUCCCUACUUCACAAUUAAAAAAAAAAAAAGAUCUCCCCAUGAAUCAAGGGCUUACAUACGAAAGGCAGAACUUUAAGAAUUUCAAGAGCAAAUGUAAAAAUGAUCUUUAUGACCUUGGAAGAAUUUCUUCAUCAAAACAAAAAAUUCCAAAUCACAAAGGAAAAGAUUAGAAAAUUUACAUCAUGAACUGUUCUCUUCUCUCUCUUAUUUACUUUUAAAUAUUAUAUUACUCACAAGAAUUUUUAGGGGGACUGAUAUGAUUUAAUACGUUUCAUUAGUUUUGCAAUUUGGGUAUAAAACUUAGUAAUACAGAGUCAGAUCCAAAAUCAGUUUGCUCCAAGAUCAAUUUGCGUGUGUGUGUGUGUGUGUGUGUGUGUGAGAGAGAGAGA